RNAcentral lists this long non-coding RNA (1651 nucleotides) under Sus scrofa (pig). RNAcentral describes it as "lncRNA (ENSSSCG00050037751.1)". Lineage: Eukaryota; Metazoa; Chordata; Mammalia; Artiodactyla; Suidae. The record is from RNAcentral.
GGUCUCCUGCUGCUGGUGAGGCGGUCGAGGAGCCGCAGCUCUCAGGCCGCGAGCAGCCUCUGUCUCCCGAGGCCUCAGAGGCCGCGGCCGACACCCUCGCGGGAGGCGCUUUCAGACGAAGGAUGCCACCUGCCUGGUCCAGAGGAAACUCAGCCGCAGCAACAGCCGCACCUGCUCCUCAGCAUCCUCCCCGACGGGGACCCAGAAGAGAGAGAUGGGCUUCAGGAAGCUUCCCUGCAGGACGCUCGCUGUGAAGGCAGCACCUAGAAGUGGAAGGAGCGGGGGUCCCGGAACCAGCACUCAGCUUACUGCCCUGGAGGGCCCCGGGUUUGCAGGGCACGGGGACCCGAGGCACAAACCGCCAUCACCACAGGGCACGGAGCGCCCUGCGACUCGGAAAGUCAGGCCACGCAGCUGCAAACUGUGAAGCUGGAACGUGGGCCCCAGUCCCUCCAGCAUGGCAUCUCCAGGGCAGCCAGGCUCGUACAUGGUGGCCCAGGCUCCACACAACAGGUGUCACAAGACACCCAGGCAGAGGCCACGUCACCUUCUGGGUUCUCCCUUGGAAGUCCUGCAACGUCACGUCCACCUGCUCUGUGGGUUGAGGCUGUCACAAGAGACCCACCCCUGGUUCAAGGGGAAGGAUGUAGGUGUCACCGCUUGAUGGGACAGUGACAACUCCAGAAGCUUGUUUCCGAGGGGCUGUGAGCUGCACCCGCGCUGGGCCUUUGCGGGAGAGCACUGGAGUGGGGUCACAGGCAGCUCUCGGCUUUAAAGACGCUGCUGUGUGUCUGUGUAGCCCAUCACGCCUGGCUGCUGGGCAGCCCUGCAGAGUGUCUGACCGCCUAGCCUGCCCCUCCCAGGGUGAGGACUCCAGGGUGCCCCCACCUCCCCGGGAACAGUGAUGCUGGAGGGGCAUCCUCAGAUGCGCUCUCUCAAUCCCUGAGCGGGACCACCCUAGGCAGCGAGCCUCCUCCGAGCACCGGGCGCUCUGGCUGUGUCGUCUCGGCGGGAGUGGAGAACGCCGGGCAGAAGGUGGAGGAAGGAGACAGAGCUCACUCUGCUGGCCUCUCGGUUCUUGAAGAAAUUAGAGAUGUGGGCUUGUGCUGAGCAGAAGGGAGGGUGAGAGCCGCCCAAGGAGAGGAGGGAGGAAGAGGAACGCCUUUGACGCCCAGGGCAUGCUGCCCCCUGCAGGAUGCUGCAGCCUGCGGGGUGUACAAGAGGAGAGAACACCCUGGAGAGAGGGCACCGGGCGAGGUGGGCAGUCGGGCAGAGCCAGGAGACCAUGCCCAGGAGAGGUGUGAGUGUAGAGCAGCGGCAUCAGAGGUUGCCUCCAACGUGUUGGGAUAACGACGUUCGAACUUAACGAAAACGUGAUAGAACUUUGCAGUGAAGGCCCACAUACCCACCCCCUGGAUUCUCCAACUGACAUCUGCUUUUACGCACGUUGUCACCUACCUAUCCUACUAGAGCCGCUUCUCUAUCCAGUCAACGAGCCGUCUUACAGUUCGAUGUAUUUCAAAAUGAAUUGGGACAUCGGUGCCUUUCACCCUUAAACACUUCAGCACAUACUCUAAACGAGUCCAGCAUUGGUUUACCCCCCUUUGUUUUUGCUUUUGGGGUAAAAUAUGUUUGCAAUAAAACGCACAAG